AUGAUUUGUUCUGAUGUAUACAAAGCCCUCCGCCCUCCCCAAAAAGUGUACUUAAGCAGUGCUCAGCCCCUGCUCGGGGCUCUGGGCUGCUUUCCCUUCUUGAGUGGGCACGGAGCCCCAGCAUGCUGGUUCAAUAAAUCCCCUUCUGCCAAUUGCAUGAGUGGUCACUUGGUGGUCUCUUUCUCCGACGCUUCGCCUGACCCUUACAUUUGGUGCGUUGGCCGGGAAAAGCGCAUCGCCAGACAAGGAGACCUCCAACGGACUCCUUUAGGGGGUAAGUAAGGUGCCUCUUCUUCUUCUUCUUCUCCUUCUCCUUCUCCUUCUUCUCUCCUCCUUCUUCUCCUUCUUGUUUUUUCCUUUGCGAUCGCUUAGAGCUUUUUGGUUUUUGGCUCGGUGGAGAGCGUGAGCUCUCAGAGCUUUUUGGUCAGGUUUGGUUUUGGGCUCAGUGGAGAGCGUGAGCUCUCAGAGCUUUUUUGUUCGGGUUCGGUUUCUCGGUUUGGGUUGGCAGAGUGGUUGCCAGCGGAGAGUGUGAACUCCCCCUGGCGGUGGUGGGCAGACGUGUCCUUUAAGCCACAGGCCACGUCCUUGCAAGGGACGCCUUGCAAGUACUCGGGGAGGGGCGGAUGGACCCUCAUUCAGUGAGAAGGGAUUCUGCUGCCAACCCAUCAGGUCUUGCCGGCUACUUUUCUUCUCAGGUUGAGUUCACUGUUUGCCUUUAAUCUUUGCUUCUAAACUUGUGUUAAACGUUUACUGUGUGUCCGUGUUUGUGUCACGUUUGUAUUGUCCCUGUCUCUGCCUGAGUAACUCCCAGUAUGGGACAAAGCCAUUCCACGCCUCUGUCCCUGAAGCCUUUCUUGGUCCCUGCCUCCACUCCGACCCCUUCCCCCAAGAUCCUAUCACUCAAUCCUUCUGCUCCUCCCCCUUUUCCCUCCAUUCUCCCUGAGUCACAAGAUUGUAGAUCUUGGGGUUGUGAACGAACGGGAGCUGCAUGAUGAUCUUUGUG
Molecule: long non-coding RNA, 1003 nt
Filed under: Marmota monax (woodchuck)
Lineage: Eukaryota; Metazoa; Chordata; Mammalia; Rodentia; Sciuridae
Source: RNAcentral